This 497-nucleotide ribosomal RNA is filed under the name uncultured bacterium. Its description in RNAcentral is "partial 16S ribosomal RNA". It matches the Rfam family "Bacterial small subunit ribosomal RNA", at positions 28 to 507 of the family's 1533-position model. The record is from RNAcentral.
GAUGAACGCUGGCGGCGUGCCUAAUACAUGCAAGUCGAGCGAACGGACGAGAAGCUUGCUUCUCUGAUGUUAGCGGCGGACGGGUGAGUAACACGUGGAUAACCUACCUAUAAGACUGGGAUAACUUCGGGAAACCGGAGCUAAUACCGGAUGAUAUUUUGAACCGCAUGGUUCAAAAGUGAAAGACGGUCUUGCUGUCACUUAUAGACGGAUCCGCGCUGCAUUAGCUAGUUGGUAAGGUAACGGCUUACCAAGGCAACGAUGCAUAGCCGACCUGAGAGGGUGAUCGGCCACACUGGAACUGAGACACGGUCCAGACUCCUACGGGAGGCAGCAGUAGGGAAUCUUCCGCAAUGGGCGAAAGCCUGACGGAGCAACGCCGCGUGAGUGAUGAAGGUCUUCGGAUCGUAAAACUCUGUUAUUAGGGAAGAACAGAUGUGUAAGUAACUGUGCACAUCUUGACGGUACCUAAUCAGAAAGCCACGGCUAACUACGUG